CAUGCCCAGGGGACGUGGAUAACCUCGGGAAACUGAGGAUAAACCGCGAUAGGUCAUCACUUCUGGAAUGGGUAAUGACUUAAACCUAUAUGGCCCCUGGAUUGGACUGCGGCCGAUCAGGCUGUUGGUGAGGUAAUGGCCCACCAAACCUGUAACCGGUACGGGCUCUGAGAGGAGGAGCCCGGAGAUGGGCACUGAGACGAGGGCCCAGGCCCUAUGGGGCGCAGCAGGCGCGAAACCUCUGCAAUAGGCGAAAGCUUGACAGGGUUACUCUGAGUGAUUUCCGUUAAGGAGAUCUUUUGGCACCUCUAAAAAUGGUGCAGAAUAAGGGGUGGGCAAGUCUGGUGUCAGCCGCCGCGGUAAUACCAGCACCCCGAGUGGUCGGGACGUUUAUUGGGCCUAAAGCAUCCGUAGCCGGUUCUACAAGUCUUCCGUUAAAUCCACCUGCUUAACAGAUGGGCUGCGGAAGAUACUAUAGAGCUAGGAGGCGGGAGAGGCAAGCGGUACUCGAUGGGUAGGGGUAAAAUCCGUUGAUCCAUUGAAGACCACCAGUGGCGAAGGCGGCUUGCCAGAACGCGCUCGACGGUGAGGGAUGAAAGCUGGGGGAGCAAACCGGAUUAGAUACCCGGGUAGUCCCAGCUGUAAACGAUGCAGACUCGGUGAUGAAUUGGCUUAUUGCUAAUUCAGUGCCGCAGGGAAGCCGUUAAGU
RNAcentral lists this ribosomal RNA (709 nucleotides) under uncultured crenarchaeote. RNAcentral's name for it is "bacterial SSU rRNA". It matches the Rfam family "Archaeal small subunit ribosomal RNA", at positions 108 to 820 of the family's 1478-position model. Lineage: Archaea; Thermoproteati; Thermoproteota. The record is from RNAcentral.